Molecule: non-coding RNA, 23 nt
Filed under: Cricetulus griseus (Chinese hamster)
Lineage: Eukaryota; Metazoa; Chordata; Mammalia; Rodentia; Cricetidae
Source: RNAcentral
AGGCUGGUCAUGAACUCACAGAG